UGGGGAAUAUUGGACAAUGGGCGAAAGCCUGAUCCAGCCAUGCCGCGUGUGUGAAGAAGGUCUUCGGAUUGUAAAGCACUUUAAGUUGGGAGGAAGGGCAUUAACCUAAUACGUUAGUGUUUUGACGUUACCGACAGAAUAAGCACCGGCUAACUCUGUGCCAGCAGCCGCGGUAAUACAGAGGGUGCAAGCGUUAAUCGGAAUUACUGGGCGUAAAGCGCGCGUAGGUGGUUUGUUAAGUUGGAUGUGAAAUCCCCGGUCUCAACCUGGGAACUGCAUUCAAAACUGACUGACUAGAGUAUGGUAGAGGGUGGUGGAAUUUCCUGUGUAGCGGUGAAAUGCGUAGAUAUAGGAAGGAACACCAGUGGCGAAGGCGACCACCUGGACUAAUACUGACACUGAGGUGCGAAAGCGUGGGGAGCAAACA
Molecule: ribosomal RNA, 427 nt
Filed under: uncultured bacterium
Lineage: Bacteria
Description: partial 16S ribosomal RNA
Rfam family: Bacterial small subunit ribosomal RNA
Source: RNAcentral